CUGGAAAGCUGUCUGUGGACAAACGCUGGCUCCCUCGGCCUGAAAGCGAGAUGAGUGCCACAACCCCACAGUCACCUUUGACUGGACUUGACCAUCCAGGGGUCCUUUACCUUUUUUACCUUUUAUAUAGCAUUCAAUGAAAAGAGAAGGACUCUCAGAAACUGGCUGAAACAAAUGUUCAAUCCUUGCCUGACAUUUACUUAGGUUUAAAUGUAAUUCCAGCGCUACACGUACGUUACGUAAGGGCCAGAGCUCAUGCUUUUGCUUUGACUGUGUAAAUGUGGAUCUCAAUCCCCAGUUGAAAGGAACUCAAACAGCCUUUUUUGUCUACCCUCUCCCCUGCGAUUCCAGUCACAAUGAAGAUUUUUAAAUCACAGAAGGAGCCUAUGUAAGUACUGCACACAAUAUUGUAGAGGGUGGGGUGAUUUUAAAAAACUCAAUCCUCCUGUCAGACUUGGAAUAUCCCCAGUUUAGGGUAUUCCACCAUUCUUCAUCAGAGUUUUCUUUCAGCAAAGCAAGCGACUCACAUAUAUUCCAAAGAAAACUUUAAUAAUAAAGAAAAUGGUAACACAAUAACAUACCGUCUGAGAGAAACUAAAACAACAUUGUGAGGCAAGAAGGACAGUUGGCCUCUCUAACUGAACUGAACUGAACACUCGAAGGGAGGGGCUGCUUCUGGAGCAGAACAUAGAAGCCCCACCCAGAUGACAGUCAUUCUACUAUUCCCCCACCCAGCCCCGCCCAGAUGACAGACAUGCCAUCUGGGCGGGGCUGGGUGGGGGAAUAGUAGAAUGACUGUCAUCUGGGUGGGGCUUCAAAUUAGACCCCAGUGUUUUUCUUACACACAACUCCAAGCACACAACAGAAGUUCAACCUGGAGGACUUUGGGGACAGGAACAGAGGGGCCACGACCAGUGAUUUUAUUCUAGAAAAAAAGGGCAGGUACUCACCAGCAAGCAGGGGGGCCAGCCCAUGGUGGGGCGGGGGUGAAACCUGGCACCAAUGCUGGAUGGUGAGGGCAGGUUAGCUGUUUGAGACCCCUUGCCCGUCCAUCCACCUACUGGGGCACUGCCACUCAGGUGAAGAACCUGAUUUUGGGAAGGAGGCAGCAGAGUUCCAGGAUCCUGUCAGAGCACCUCCUUCUCUAAGCUGGGCAAACACUUCCCGGACUUGGGGAAGGAGGUGAAAUGUUCUGAUGGGGUCCAAGAGCCCUUCUGCCACCUUCCCCCCUCCCGAAGGGUGGCGAUACUGUGUGCCGUUGCGUACCGCCAGAAAAAAAGUAUAUAUCUCCUCUCCCCACACCUCCACUCUUCAUGUGCAUGACUGGAAUCGCAUGAGGGGAAACAGGGCUAUGACGAUUUCUUCCCCAAACCAGCAGGAAUUGCUGUCAGAAUUGAGAAUACUGAUCUGGGUAAGCGAAUGGUCUGAUCCAGUAUUAAGCAGCUUCAUGUGUUCCCAUCACUAGCAUGCACUCCCUGACAAAUUUCCCCUGAAGGAAUGCAGUCGUCAACUGAUUCAGUUUAAGUGGGGAAGCAAAUAAAUAGGUUUAAUCAAGAAGCAAUAAAUGAAUGAAGAGGAUGAAUGGGCCAAUGAUGCUUAGGAAGCAUUAAACUCAACACACUCAGAUAAGUUUCAGUUGUCCUUCUGGCAAUAAAGCUGCUAGCACCUUUGCAAAGCUAAGCAGGUUCAGGUAUGGUUUCGAACCAUAAGGGGGACCAUGUGUUGUGAUUCUUGCAUUGUCGGGCGUCGGACUAGAUGACCCCCGGGGUCCCUUUCAACUCUACAAUUCUGUGCCUUUCUGGUUCUAUAAUGGACUCCUUGUUGCACAAGGGGACCUCUCAACGCAUUUUAACCCACUAACACAGCUUCACAAAGGAAUCUUCAAAAGUUACUAGCUCUUUUUACUAGUCAUAAACACAUGAACUGCUCACACAUUAGCAGUGCUGAAAGUCAGCAACAACCUGAAAGGAAAGAACCAUCUUUCAAAGUACAAAAUAUUUCCUUGUCUGGUCACUUUGAAUUUUUUUUUCUUUUAUUUGUGCCACAGGUGCUCAAAAAGAGGGCAAUUUUAAUCCUAAACUAAUGGAUCUCUGAUGACUAUAAAGUAAUAUGCAGGCAGUCUGCAUACAGGGAGGUAGGAAUCACCCAUUUGCCAUGGACUGACCACUUCCUGGUGAAGUUUGGACUCGUAUCAGCUGACCUACCCUGCAAGUGUGAGGGACCAGUUAAGAUGGCCCAUCCUGGAGACUAAUGGAAACGGAUGGAUACCUGAAUGCUCUGGGUGUUCCUACAAUGGAUAGAGUGAGUGAUUCUGCUGAGGAUCCUGUCUCGCUGUGUAAUGGUGGGAUGAUGAGGGCCAUUGACACAAUCCUUCUUAUGAUCGUUCUUUAGCAUAGUGGAGCCCAGGAAGCUCCUGGGUUACUGAAGAGCUGCAGGUGAUGAAACAGUCAAGAAAGGACUGGAGCAGGUGGCAUAAAACUUGAAGCCGGCAGAGCACUUGCUAGGGCACAUAACUGCACCUACCAAGUAGCAGCUGAGGCAACUAGGAAGAGGUUUUUUGCUGCUUCCAUUGCAUACAUACAAACACAUACACACACACACACACACACACACACACACACACAGGAGAAUGAAAUCAUGACAUCCAAAGCACUCAGAUCUCACCCUCUGUCAGAUCUAUGUGGCCUAGAGCUCAGCUUAUAAUUUUCUGUUCACUGGGUCCAUGUUUAUCAUUUUCUGGGGAAUAAUUCAAGAACAAAAAUCAAAGAAAGGCAUUAUUUGAUACUUAGAACCAGUGCUUUUUUCAGGAGCUCCUCAAGGGUACGCAGGACUGGCACCUCUUUUUUUCAUCAUUAAAAAGUGUGGCAGUUACUGUAACAACAUCAUGGUGAGUACCGGGACCUAUUUUUCUAGAAAAAAAGCACUGUUUAGAACUACUAAGGAAAUAUUGCUACUCUUCGCAGCUGUGCCAAGUUCUUACAAUAUACCCUUGACCGAAGAACGGUACACUCCUUCUAUCUGGGAUGGUCGUCCUCUUCCACCGAGCGCGCAGCUUCGGGAGGGACGCACAUGGAGCGGUGAGGGAGGAAGGGGACACCCGCCUAGCCAGCCAGAUCAGCCGAAUCAACCCUGGCGAUCAAUGGGGUGACAGAUGUCGCAGCCAGAUCGCCCUCACAUCCUUCCGGUAUGAUGGCGGACAGCACUCUACUAAUGUGAGCCCAUUGAUUUUAUCUUUUUAUUUUCUCUUACUCCUUUUAAAGACUAUUUUAAUGAAUAUUGAGCUCAGAUAAUUUUAAGCACCUCACCCCAUUCCAUCCCACGCUCCGCUUUCCUGACUCUUCUUGGAGCUUUAAAGCCGCACUGACUAUCUUAUCACACUGCGAAGAGCUUACAGGAAGAUUCAUGGGCUGUUCCCACCACAAGUCUGGAGGCACAGACGGAGCAUAACUUAGUGUUAUGCCAAUAACCUUUGGCACACUCCUCCUCCUUGAAUAGGAUACUUUCAAGGAAAAUACUCCCUCGACUCUUUGAAAAAUUUAGGGAAGAUAAAAGAGCGAGGCAAAGGGAGAGAUGACUCAGCAAUUAGACAGCCCUGCUGAUGCGAGGAGGGGGGUUGGCAAACGCUGCAGAGAAUCGGAGGACUCAGAGGAAAUGGCAUGUUUGCCCCUUACCAAGCAAACCAAAAUCAGCGAAUUCUUCCAUGGAAAAACAAAGGACACUUUUAAUAUUCCGACCUCGAACAGUUUCUCGCCAUUAGCAGAGAUAAUAGAUAAGGAAAUUACACCGAAGGAACCACCCACUAAACAACCCAUUAACUCCUUAAACAACUCCACCACGAGACCAAAAGGCCCCAAAAAGCUCCAACUAUGCCCAUUCAGGCGGAAGACUGCAUCGGAGAACAAGCAAACUAUCUCUCUGAAUUACUGCUUGAACACUCUACCACGUUAGACCUAGUGGCUAAAACCGUGGACUGUAUCUUUAAAUAUAUAAGAGACAUCAAAGGCUCCUUAGAGAAUAUUACAUCCUUUGUAUCCCCAAAAGUUAAUGUCAGCCCUGUAGACGUUUCACCGGAGGAUAGGGCUGAACCAACGCCCAGAGUACCUGCCCUAUUACGUUUAACCCCGCAGACUGGCUGCAAAUCUGAAAACGAACAAUCUAUGGAAGAUUCACACACCAUAUCUUCCUAUAAUCUUUCGUUACAAGCCACUAGACUUUGUUUAAUUAUCCUUCCCUUCAAAGGUCAGGUUGUUAACUGGUCGUCUACACAUGUCGCAAGAAGGCAUUUGGCUGAGCUUCUGGGCGUAGAUCCUCUUUCCAUCGAUCUGAAAUCCGCUGUCCACAUUUACAGCAAGCCACACAUGCAGAGGAUACUGCUCACCUUUGAUUCUAAAAAGCUUCCAACUUAUAUGAUGUCCUUACGAAGCUACCUGACUAAUUAUAGAAUUUUUAUCACAAGAGUUUUUAUCAACACUAAGAUUUGCCCUCUUAUUCCCUACUCUCCAGUUAAAAGGAAAGCAAUUAAAAAUGAGGGCAUUCCAUCUACUACGAGCUCUACCUCUCCACCCUCAGACUUAAUUAGUUGGACAGAGACCCCCAUGCCCCUCCUAUCAAAGGCUACUCAUCUUGAGAAUUCGAUGGAGCAGGAAUUACUUGUCUCCUUCUCCCAUCUGCCAAAAGCCGAACAAACAGAGAUAACGGACAGACUAGAUGAGUUAUUACUCUAUCUCCGCAACUUUGAAGAUCUAGCGCCCAUAAAAGAGGCAAAUAUUCCACCUAACUUGGAGCGAAAAAUGGGUCAUGAAUCUCCNNNNNNNNNNNNNNNNNNNNNNNNNNNNNNNNNNNNNNNNNNNNNNNNNNNNNNNNNNNNNNNNNNNNNNNNNNNNNNNNNNNNNNNNNNNNNNNNNNNNCUCCACCAGAUGUCAAAGAGAACAACAACUACCAGGCUUUUAGAAGACAUCUGAAGGCAGCCCUGUUUCGGGAAGCUUUUAAUGUUUGAUGUAUUAUAGUAUUUUAAUAUUCUUUUGGAAGCCGCCCAGAGUGGCCGGGGAAGCCCAGCCAGAUGGGCGGGGUAUAAAUAAUAAAUUAUUAUUAUUAUUAUUAUUAUUAUUAUUAUUAUGUGCCAAGUUCUUACAAUAUCCAAAACUAAGAUCCUCUAAGCAUGGAUAUUCAGAAUAAUUACUUUCAGGUGAAGGUACUAUACUAACAGCCAAACAGCAGACUAAUCCUGAAUGAAGGCAACAGAACUGCAAUAUGUAAAAACCUCCACCUCACCAUACUAAGAUUUCCAAAGCGAUGCAGAGAUUUACUAAUGGAUACAUGGUCUGUGAACAUUUCACUCAUCAAUCACCCUAACCUGCCAUCAAAGUCUAGACUCAAAAUAUGUUGGCACAUUAGAGCAUUUCACAACUGAAUAAUCCUGUCAAAAUCCAUUUUUAUUCAUCUAUUCAUGAUAGAAAUGUUUGGCUUAAAUGAAUGCAAUUUAUGCAUCCUACAAGGCUCGGAUCCCAGGCACUCUCUCUUCCCUUGUAGCCGAAAUUUGCUUUGGAUAAAACAGGAAAUUUACACAGUGAUCGAUUGGAGCGCAGAAGAUCCUGUGGCUCAUUAUUUCUAGAGGUAGCCUCAUUACCGCGACAACCCAUUACAAUGUCUUUUUUAUUUUACAUCCUAGGAAAGUUCAGACCUGGAGAUUUACAGCACCUUGAGAUGACUCACAGCAUUAUAAUAGCAAUAAGCACCUAACUUACUUUAUUUGUAGUACAUUUUAAAGCCAAUUAAAGGAACAUUAAACCAUCUCUCAAAACAAUGUCACAUGGCACAAGGUGAUGUUUUUGUGCUGGCUACAAUUCAGCAAUUGAAGAAAGACCUACAGUAGUUUGCAACUCAUGAAACGUGAGUUCUUUGUGUGGUUUGAGGUUGGCACUGGGAGAGAACUGGCCUCUUGAACCUUCAACAGAUGCAGAGCAGCCAGAAAUUCAAUGGGUGAAGCUUUUUCUAGUAUGGAAAUGCAGUAACGGGGAAAGCUUCACCUAUUGACAAUAUGCCUGCCUUAUUAACUUGUGUGUGGCCCUCAAUUCACUUCAGGUCCUGCACCCCACUCAGACAGGAGGGUAACGAUUUGUAUAUAACUGAAGGUGUUGGAAAUUUGUAUCCGCUUUUGCAAAUGGGGAAGAGAAUCCAAUCCAUACAGUGUACUGGACCUAGAAAACCAUGUUAUCACUGCUCACCGCAGGUGAAAGAGACUGCAGACAAUAAUACUGGAGGGGGGAAGGGUGAGAGAGGGCACAAUUGCCUUCCCCAAUGCACUGAAAGAUUUAAAAGGUAGGCUAGCCAUUGCCCAGACUGAGAUGGGGCAAAACUCAAAUAUGAGUACAGCAAUAUGAAACGGGCAAUUUAUGUAUCAAUAUUUUCAAACACAGCAGCCUUCAUUUGAAUUCUUUUCCAUUGCAGGAGUUGGACUUGGGUCCCUUCCGACUCUACAAUUCUACUAUUCUAUGGUUUUUGUCAAGUGCCUGAAGCAGUUUAUUUAAUAUCUUUUAAAGCUGAUUGUUGACAAGAAAUAGUCAGCAGGUAUUCUUUUCAAUCUAUGACAACAGAUCUUCCUACACACACUCAUUCACACUCUGAUAUGGAUUGACAAAAGCAAUUCAGUUGAAAAGUUGUUGCUGGUGUCAACAAUGACAAUUGAAAACCCUAGAACUUAAAAAUAUAGGCAUAGCUAUAUGGAGACAGAUUAUCGCAGGGGAGGAAGGCAAUAAACCCCUGCUUAAAAGGUGAAUGUUCACAGUUGCAUGAAAAGUGAGGUGGUGAAUGCCAAAACGGUGGAGGCAAAAGAGGAUCUUGGAAUACCCAGAGGCUGGGAAGGACUUGCAAAAGCAGAUUAUGGAGCAUCAAGUGUGUGGAAGAUCCUGAGGAAUCAAGUGUUGAAAAGCCAUCGCCUCUUAAAACAUCCCAGUCGACGAGCCAUAAAUCUCCAACUUCCCAAGGGCUCUACUGUCAAUGCAAAGAGAUGGAAUGGCUGACAUCAGAAAUCUCCUUCCCUGCACAAGUGCAAAUUAACAGUUGGAAGCAGAUAAAGAGAUUGGGAAUAUAAGAGCUAGACCAAGAAAGAGAAACAAUUCAGUUCCCUUUUGGGGAACAAGAUUUUCUAUUUCAGUUCUUCUCCUUUUCUUUCUUCUACUGUUGUUGAUGUUGUUGCUACUUAUUUUUCCUAUUUUUCAAUUAUACACUGCUUAAUUGUAUGUAAAACCUUCAAACAGAUUACAAAAUAUAUACAAUAUACUGUACAUUAAAAUUGCCCCCAAAAAUCAAAGUUAAAAACAAGUUUCAAAAAUGAGGGAAAUAAUCAAUAAAAAUAAUCAAAAGUUUACAUUAUAAGCUGAGGUUACAGCUUAAAAUAUGUGUCAAGUUUAUGGCUUGCCUAAAAAGAAAUGUUUUUAGCUGGCACUGGAAAGGAUGCAGCAAUGACAUUUGACUGAAGUCAAUUGACGUGAGUUCCAUGAUUGUUUCAUAUGCUUCCUAGAACUGUAAAUAAAUUAGAAAACAAAUAUCUGAACACAGGAAAAAGUGUAUGCUGAAAGAGCAGUAGGCUAGAAUUCUUCUUAAGGUGCUAGUUUUUUGG
Molecule: long non-coding RNA, 7618 nt
Filed under: Podarcis lilfordi (Lilford's wall lizard)
Lineage: Eukaryota; Metazoa; Chordata; Lepidosauria; Squamata; Lacertidae
Source: RNAcentral